RNAcentral lists this ribosomal RNA (490 nucleotides) under uncultured bacterium. RNAcentral's name for it is "partial 16S ribosomal RNA". It matches the Rfam family "Bacterial small subunit ribosomal RNA", at positions 28 to 507 of the family's 1533-position model. The record is from RNAcentral.
GAUGAACGCUAGCUACAGGCUUAACACAUGCAAGUCGCAGGGUAACAUGAGGAAAGCUUGCUUUCCUUGAUGACGACUGGCGCACGGGUGAGUAACGCGUAUCCAACCUUCCCAUAACUACGGGAUAACCCGUUGAAAGACGGCCUAAUACCGUAUGAUAUCGUUUGCUGACAUCAAAUAACGAUUAAAGGUUUAGCGGUUAUGGAUGGGGAUGCGUCUGAUUAGCUUGUUGGCGGGGUAACGGCCCACCAAGGCGACGAUCAGUAGGGGUUCUGAGAGGAAGGUCCCCCACAUUGGAACUGAGACACGGUCCAAACUCCUACGGGAGGCAGCAGUGAGGAAUAUUGGUCAAUGGGCGAGAGCCUGAACCAGCCAAGUAGCGUGCAGGACGACGGCCCUAGGGGUGGUAAACUGCUUUUAUGUGGGGAUAAAGUGCGUGACGUGUCAUGCAUUGCAGGUACCACAUGAAUAAGGACCGGCUAAUUCCGUG